GAGGGUGAUCGGCCACACUGGAACUGAGACACGGUCCAGACUCCUACGGGAGGCAGCAGUAGGGAAUCUUCCGCAAUGGGCGAAAGCCUGACGGAGCAACGCCGCGUGAGUGAUGAAGGUCUUCGGAUCGUAAAACUCUGUUAUUAGGGAAGAACAUAUGUGUAAGUAACUGUGCACAUCUUGACGGUACCUAAUCAGAAAGCCACGGCUAACUACGUGCCAGCAGCCGCGGUAAUACGUAGGUGGCAAGCGUUAUCCGGAAUUAUUGGGCGUAAAGCGCGCGUAGGCGGUUUUUUAAGUCUGAUGUGAAAGCCCACGGCUCAACCGUGGAGGGUCAUUGGAAACUGGAAAACUUGAGUGCAGAAGAGGAAAGUGGAAUUCCAUGUGUAGCGGUGAAAUGCGCAGAGAUAUGGAGGAACACCAGUGGC
This 428-nucleotide ribosomal RNA is filed under the name Staphylococcus aureus. RNAcentral describes it as "bacterial SSU rRNA". It matches the Rfam family "Bacterial small subunit ribosomal RNA", at positions 296 to 716 of the family's 1533-position model. The record is from RNAcentral. Lineage: Bacteria; Bacillati; Bacillota; Bacilli; Caryophanales; Staphylococcaceae.